UAGACACAGGGAGAAAGCAAACCCAUUGUUU
Molecule: non-coding RNA, 31 nt
Filed under: Rattus norvegicus (Norway rat)
Lineage: Eukaryota; Metazoa; Chordata; Mammalia; Rodentia; Muridae
Source: RNAcentral